UGGGGAAUAUUGCACAAUGGGGGAAACCCUGAUGCAGCGACGCCGCGUGGAGGAAGAAGGUCUUCGGAUUGUAAACUCCUGUCCCAGGGGACGAUAAUGACGGUACCCUGGGAGGAAGCACCGGCUAACUACGUGCCAGCAGCCGCGGUAAAACGUAGGGUGCAAGCGUUGUCCGGAAUUACUGGGUGUAAAGGGAGCGCAGGCGGAUUGGCAAGUUGGGAGUGAAAUCUAUGGGCUCAACCCAUAAAUUGCUUUCAAAACUGUCAGUCUUGAGUGGUGUAGAGGUAGGCGGAAUUCCCGGUGUAGCGGUGGAAUGCGUAGAUAUCGGGAGGAACACCAGUGGCGAAGGCGGCCUACUGGGCACUAACUGACGCUGAGGCUCGAAAGCAUGGGUAGCAAACA
This 402-nucleotide ribosomal RNA is filed under the name uncultured bacterium. RNAcentral describes it as "bacterial SSU rRNA". It matches the Rfam family "Bacterial small subunit ribosomal RNA", at positions 355 to 774 of the family's 1533-position model. The record is from RNAcentral.